GACGAACGCUGGUGGCGUGCUUAACACAUGCAAGUCGAACGGGAUUUAGUAAACAGAAGCCUCGGUGGAAGAUUACUACUGAGAGUGGCGAACGGGUGAGUAACGCGUGAGCAACCUGCCUAUGACAGUGGGAUAGCCUCGGGAAACCGGGAUUAAUACCGCAUAAAAUCGUAGAAACACAUGUUUUAACGGUCAAAGAUUUAUCGGUCAUAGAUGGGCUCGCGUCUGAUUAGCUAGUUGGUGAGAUCACAGCCCAGCAAGGCGACGAUCAGUAGCCGGGCUGAGAGGAGGAACGGCCACAUUGGAACUGAGACACAGUCCCAACUCCUACGGGAGGCAGCAGUGGGGAAUAUUGCACAAUGGGGGAAACCCUGAUGCAGCGACGCCGCGUGAACGAAGAAGGUAUUCGUAUCGUAAAGUUCUGUCCUAUGGGAAGAUAAUGACAGUACCAUAGAAGAAAGCGCCGGCUAAAUACGUG
RNAcentral lists this ribosomal RNA (478 nucleotides) under uncultured bacterium. RNAcentral describes it as "partial 16S ribosomal RNA". It matches the Rfam family "Bacterial small subunit ribosomal RNA", at positions 28 to 507 of the family's 1533-position model. The record is from RNAcentral.